This 433-nucleotide ribosomal RNA is filed under the name uncultured bacterium. RNAcentral describes it as "partial 16S ribosomal RNA". It matches the Rfam family "Bacterial small subunit ribosomal RNA", at positions 29 to 507 of the family's 1533-position model. The record is from RNAcentral.
AACGAACGCUGGCGGCAUGCCUAACACAUGCAAGUCGAACGAGACCUUCGGGUCUAGUGGCGCACGGGUGCGUAACGCGAGGGAACCUGCCCUUAGGUUCGGAAUAACUCCCCGAAAGGGGUGCUAAUACCGGAUAAUGUCUUCGGACCAAAGAUUUAUCGCCUUUGGAUGGGCCCGCGUUGGAUUAGCUAGUUGGUAGGGUAAAAGCCUACCAAGGCGACGAUCCAUAGCUGGUCUGGGAGGAUGAUCAGCCACCCUGGGACUGGGACACGGCCCAGACUCCUACGGGAGGCAGCAGUGGGGAAUAUUGGACAAUGGGCGAAAGCCUGAUCCAUCAAUGCCGCGUGAGUGAUGAAGGCCUUAGGGUUGUAAAGCUCUUUUACCCGGGAUGAUAAUGACAGUACCGGGAGAAUAAGCUCCGGCUAACUCCGUG